UACGGAAGGCAGCAGUGGGGAAUAUUGCACAAUGGGCGCAAGCCUGAUGCAGCCAUGCCGCGUGUAUGAAGAAGGCCUUCGGGUUGUAAAGUACUUUCAGUCGUGAGGAAGGUGUUAAGGUUAAUAACCUUAGCAAUUGACGUUAGCGACAGAAGAAGCACCGGCUAACUCCGUGCCAGCAGCCGCGGUAAUACGGAGGGUGCGAGCGUUAAUCGGAAUUACUGGGCGUAAAGGGCACGCAGGCGGUUAAUUAAGUUGGAUGUGAAAUCCCCGGGCUUAACCUGGGAAUGGCAUUCAAGACUGGUUAGCUAGAGUCUUGUAGAGGGGGUGAAUUCCAUGUGUAGCGGUGAAAUGCGUAGAGAUGUGGAGGAAUACCGGUGGCGAAGGCGGCCCCUGGGACAAGACUGACGCUCAUGUGCGAAAGCGUGGGGAGCGAAACAGGAUUAGAUACC
This 452-nucleotide ribosomal RNA is filed under the name uncultured bacterium. Its description in RNAcentral is "bacterial SSU rRNA". It matches the Rfam family "Bacterial small subunit ribosomal RNA", at positions 340 to 786 of the family's 1533-position model. The record is from RNAcentral.